RNAcentral lists this transfer RNA (70 nucleotides) under Garra spilota. Its description in RNAcentral is "tRNA-Pro". It matches the Rfam family "tRNA". Rfam says of the family: Transfer RNA (tRNA) molecules are approximately 80 nucleotides in length. Their secondary structure includes four short double-helical elements and three loops (D, anti-codon, and T loops). Further hydrogen bonds mediate the characteristic L-shaped molecular structure. tRNAs have two regions of fundamental functional importance: the anti-codon, which is responsible for specific mRNA codon recognition, and the 3' end, to which the tRNAs corresponding amino acid is attached (by aminoacyl-tRNA synthetases). tRNAs cope with the degeneracy of the genetic code in two manners: having more than one tRNA (with a specific anti-codon) for a particular amino acid; and 'wobble' base-pairing, i.e. permitting non-standard base-pairing at the 3rd anti-codon position. The record is from RNAcentral. Lineage: Eukaryota; Metazoa; Chordata; Actinopteri; Cypriniformes; Cyprinidae.
CAGAAAAUAGUUUUAAUGAGAAUGCCGGUUUUGGGUAUCGGUGGUGAGAGUUCAAGUCUCUUUUUUCUGG